This 841-nucleotide long non-coding RNA is filed under the name Eucalyptus grandis. RNAcentral's name for it is "long non-coding RNA (EGRA_LNC003085)". The record is from RNAcentral. Lineage: Eukaryota; Viridiplantae; Streptophyta; Magnoliopsida; Myrtales; Myrtaceae.
AAGCUGGGCUUUCUGAUAUUGCAUUGCUGGCCUUGCUGGCCUUGCUGGUCGGUCCAAAUGGGCUGAACUUGGCUCGGUUCGGGGCUAAGAUGUGGCCGAACUGGAUGCGGGGAGGGUUGCUUGAUCGCUGCUGAGCCGGACUUGAGAAGCACCACAAGAGACAAAUUCGGGCUGGCUUCGCUGCUUGGUCCACGAAAUAGCUGAAGCAGCAGCUUAAUCUUCGUCGGAUUUGAUCGAGACAGCAGGAACAAAGCAAAAGAAAAGGCAUCGGGAGCAGGCGUUGCAUGCGUGUGGCGGUGGCAGCGUAAGAGUGGGGGUGAAGCUUCAGUUGGGAUGGAGGCAUGCGGACGUUGCAGCUGCUGGACUCUGGGGAUGAAGAUUUCCAGUCAAAGCUGGGAGGAGGCGGCGGCAAAAGCUGUUUUCACGCGUGAAGGGGAGAGGGAAUUUUUUUUUUUUUAACAGAAACAGAAAUGCAUUACUAAGUAACGUUUAAAGCAGUUACAGCAGUAGUAUCCGCACACAACAAAUCCAAAAGAGCAUACGGGGGUUACUAACCCAAUUUCUAGGAAGACAACCCAAUCGAUAAGCUUUGGCAAGCUAGUCGGCGACCUUGUUCGUAUUUCGAGUAUAAUGUGCUAAAGAGAGGCCCGACAUCUCUGCUAGUUUAAGAGAAAGAAAACGUGGGGCAGCUGGCACGGACGAAAUUGGCAGCGAGGAGAGAGAGAUUGCGGGCAGUCGGUCGUUUGACCGAGCUGAAGGAACAAAAAAAAAAAGGGGGAAGGGAUAAGGAAAGAAAGGGGAUGUCGGCAGCAUGGGGAAGAGGAUAAGUGAGAGAGAUAAU